Molecule: ribosomal RNA, 496 nt
Filed under: uncultured bacterium
Lineage: Bacteria
Description: partial 16S ribosomal RNA
Rfam family: Bacterial small subunit ribosomal RNA
Source: RNAcentral
GAUGAACGCUGGCGGCGUGCCUAAUACAUGCAAGUCGAGCGAACAGACGAGGAGCUUGCUCCUCUGACGUUAGCGGCGGACGGGUGAGUAACACGUGGAUAACCUACCUAUAAGACUGGGAUAACUUCGGGAAACCGGAGCUAAUACCGGAUAAUAUAUUGAACCGCAUGGUUCAAUAGUGAAAGACGGUUUUGCUGUCACUUAUAGAUGGAUCCACGCCGCAUUAGCUAGUUGGUAAGGUAACGGCUUACCAAGGCAACGAUGCGUAGCCGACCUGAGAGGGGAUUCGGCACAACUGAACCUGGAACACGUUCCAGACUCCUACGGAAGGCAGCGUUAGGGAACCUUCCGAAAUGGGCGAAAGCCUGACGGACAAAGGCCGGGGGGUUGAUGAAGGUCUCCGAAUCUUAAAACCUUGUUAUUAGGAAAGAAAAAAGUUGAAAGUAACAAUGCACUUCUGGAGGGAACCAAAUCAGAAAGCAACGGUAAACUACGG